RNAcentral lists this long non-coding RNA (1587 nucleotides) under Arabidopsis thaliana (thale cress). RNAcentral describes it as "long non-coding RNA (ATHA_LNC000293)". The record is from RNAcentral. Lineage: Eukaryota; Viridiplantae; Streptophyta; Magnoliopsida; Brassicales; Brassicaceae.
AAAAUGUAAUAAAAGAACAUAUUACAUUAAGUUGAUCACAAUCUCAACGCCCUCUCUCUCACUCGAAACUCUUUUCUCUCUUUUCUCUCCAGCCAGCGCACUUCCUUCUCACUCAAAGAAGUUUCUCUUCUUCAUGUAUUCUCUCAUUUCCUUCAACCACCACGUCCUUAGUCAUAUGAUUCUCUAUUCUUUAGCUACCUCUUCCCCACCUUCCCUUGACGAAAAUUCUUGCAUAAUUCAUAAUUAGAAGAAUUUCCUCCCAAGGUACUCGUGCUAACCCUUUUGAUCACAUACUUUCUUUUGAUCACAUACGUAUUUAUUUGACCCAUUUGAAUGUUCUACAUCCAUCAUGAUUUUUUUUGUUUUACGGUAUGCAAUCUAAAAUCAUGUGUUCUCCAUCCAUUCGCUACUGAUUUAAUCAUUAUCUGAGUUUUUCAACAAAAAGAACACAAUUUAUAAACAUAGACAACCAUGAUUAGUUUCGGAAGUCAAAAUAAAAAGCAUGUUAAUCAAUUGUCUUUUAUCUCGUAUCCCCAAUUUUACUUCUCAAAGUACUAAAAUAGUCUAAAAACAAUCAUACGUACGUAAUAAGAAAAUAAUUUACUUCCUGCUGUGUUUAAACAAAACUUCUAUGAGAUGUAAAAAAAGAAAAAGAGUCUACGAUGGAUGAUCAAGCGUAAUUGCUUUGUUACGUCUAAAAGGUGUUUAACAAAACUAUAGCGCAGAAAAUAAUCAGUUUAAUUAACUAAACAAAAACAUGUUAGUGGAUUAAGCCAAGAAUUAGUCCGAUAGAACUAUAAAAUCUACAAAAUAUCUCAAAUCUCAAUAAUACGUAUAUAAUAUCUCAAUAAUACCUAUAUAAUAUCUCAACUCCAAUCAGAAAGCUAAAUAAAAUAUCAGCAUAAGUUAUAUUCGCUUCCAAAAAAAGUCUGCCUCGUUACCUACCUCUCACACUCAAGUCUCUCACGUUAUUUGAGAUAUUUAGGAGAAGCAAGACGACAACGAGAAGAAAAAAGAGUGGGUAUGGUCAAGAAAAAGACAAAUUAUGAUUUUAGUGGAAAAUAGAAAGUAAAGAGUGAAGUGACGCGACACGUGGUACGAGACUCCACAGCGAGCCACGUAAGGGGGGACAAAGAAGAGAAGGUAUGGACAAUGGUUUCCGCGGUCGAGCCACGCUUUCAGAAUUCUGAUUGGCACUGGGUUAUCUUGUGGAACCCAUCUGAAAGAUAUUUUUGGUUGUCGUACGGAUUUGUUUAUUUCGGGUUUGUUGAAUUAGUUUGUUUCGGUUUUAUACACUAUUUUAGGAAACUUUUUUUUAUAUUCUUUAUAGUGAACUGGGCUGAAUUUUUUUGGUUGCUAGAUUCGAGACGAGCCAAUUUAUGUAAUAUUUUGUGGCUUUCUGUUGCUAAAUUGUAAGAUCUGUAACUUACAUGAGAUAGAAUAAAAUAAUGUAAUGCAGGUUUUGUGGCAUAUUUACAAACAUCAUCCACGUGUAAUGAUCUGUCCACAUAUUUUGCCUUGAAAGCAACUACAAUAUGACUUUUAAUAUCUUUUUUGUUAAAUAUUUGACUUUUAACUUAUGUGAAG